Molecule: ribosomal RNA, 845 nt
Filed under: Botryosphaeria sinensis
Lineage: Eukaryota; Fungi; Ascomycota; Dothideomycetes; Botryosphaeriales; Botryosphaeriaceae
Description: partial 28S ribosomal RNA
Rfam family: Eukaryotic large subunit ribosomal RNA
Source: RNAcentral
CCUUAGUAACGGCGAGUGAAGCGGCAACAGCUCAAAUUUGAAAGCUGGCUCCUUUGGAGUCCGCGUUGUAAUUUGUAGAGGAUGAUUCGGCAAGGGCUCCCGCCUAAGUCUCCUGGAACGGAGCGUCAUAGAGGGUGAGAAUCCCGUAUGCGGUGGGCUGCCUAAGCCAUGUGAAUCUCCUUCGACGAGUCGAGUUGUUUGGGAAUGCAGCUCUAAAUGGGAGGUAAAUUUCUUCUAAAGCUAAAUACCGGCCAGAGACCGAUAGCGCACAAGUAGAGUGAUCGAAAGAUGAAAAGCACUUUGGAAAGAGAGUUAAAAAGUACGUGAAAUUGUUGAAAGGGAAGCGCUUGCAGCCAGACUUGUCCGCAGUUGCUCAGCCGGUCUCCUGACCGGUGUACUCUUCUGCGGCCAGGCCAGCAUCAGUUCGGGCGGUCGGAUAAAGACCUCGGGAAUGUAGCUCCUCUCGGGGAGUGUUAUAGCCCGGGGUGGAAUGCGGCCAGCCUGGACUGAGGAUCUCGCUUCGGCUAGGAUGCUGGCGUAAUGGCUGUAAGCGGCCCGUCUUGAAACACGGACCAAGGAGUCUAACAUCUAUGCGAGUGUUUGGGUGUCAAACCCAUGCGCGUAAUGAAAGUGAACGGAGGUGGGAACCCUCACGGGUGCACCAUCGACCGAUCCUGAUGUCUUCGGAUGGAUUUGAGUAAGAGCAUAGCUGUUGGGACCCGAAAGAUGGUGAACUAUGCCUGAAUAGGGUGAAGCCAGAGGAAACUCUGGUGGAGGCUCGCAGCGGUUCUGACGUGCAAAUCGAUCGUCAAAUUUGGGUAUAGGGGCGAAAGACUAAUCGAACC